This 588-nucleotide ribosomal RNA is filed under the name uncultured Rubrobacter sp. Its description in RNAcentral is "bacterial SSU rRNA". It matches the Rfam family "Bacterial small subunit ribosomal RNA", at positions 338 to 918 of the family's 1533-position model. The record is from RNAcentral. Lineage: Bacteria; Bacillati; Actinomycetota; Rubrobacteria; Rubrobacterales; Rubrobacteraceae.
CCUACGGGAGGCAGCAGUCGGGAAUCUUGCACAAUGGGCGAAAGCCUGAUGCAGCAACACCGUGUGAGCGAUGAAGGCCCUAGGGUCGUAAAGCUCUGUUGUUAGGGACGAAGGGCGAAGGGUUAAUAGCCCUUAGCCUGACGGUACCUUUCGAGGAAGCCCCGGCUAACUACGUGCCAGCAGCCGCGGUAAUACGUAGGGGGCGAGCGUUGUCCGGAAUUAUUGGGCGUAAAGGGCGUGUAGGCGGCUUGGUAAGUCUGCUGUGAAACCUUGGGGCUCAACCCCAAGCGUGCAGUGGAUACUGUCAAGCUAGAGGAUGGUAGAGGCCAGUGGAAUUCCCGGUGUAGCGGUGAAAUGCGCAGAUAUCGGGAGGAACACCAGUAGCGAAGGCGGCUGGCUGGGCCAUUCCUGACGCUGAGACGCGAAAGCUAGGGGAGCGAACAGGAUUAGAUACCCUGGUAGUCCUAGCCGUAAACGAUGAACACUAGGUGUGGGGGGAGUCGAAUCCCUCCGUGCCGAAGCCAACGCGUUAAGUGUUCCGCCUGGGGAGUACGGCCGCAAGGCUAAAACUCAAAUGAAUUGACGGGG